RNAcentral lists this transfer RNA (59 nucleotides) under Saitozyma podzolica. It matches the Rfam family "tRNA". Rfam says of the family: Transfer RNA (tRNA) molecules are approximately 80 nucleotides in length. Their secondary structure includes four short double-helical elements and three loops (D, anti-codon, and T loops). Lineage: Eukaryota; Fungi; Basidiomycota; Tremellomycetes; Tremellales; Trimorphomycetaceae. The record is from Rfam by way of RNAcentral.
GGGUGUUUAGUGUAAUGGUAACACAGGCGCAGAUCCGGGUUCGAGUCCCGGAAUAUCCG